CAUCCUCACUUUCAGGCCCAAGGGAAUCCGACCCGCAGCGAUCAGACCCCGCCCCUUCAGGGAGAACACGGCCCGUUGGCCCCGCUCACGGCGAGAGCACCGCCCACAGGCUGAAGAUCCUGCCCCUUCAGGACGGCCGAGAACGCGCCUGCCUUGCACCACCCCCACCCCGCCCCGCGUCCUUCAGGAGAGCCGGAAACGCUCCUACCCCUACUUCGCUUCUGCACGGCCGCGAGAACGCACCUGUCCAGCCCCCUGUUCGCUCCGCCCACUCAGCGCGCGCGGGAGCGCGCGCGGGAGCAGCUCCAACUUUUUCAAUUUGCCGCCAUCUUUACGGCGGCCGACUUCCCAGCCUGCCUCGCGUCCAGGGAGGCGGAGCUCAGAUGAGGUCCGGGGAAUGAGGUGAUUCGCCCAAAAGCACACUACAAAUUGGAGUCACCAGCAGGUCUGCUAUUUUGCCACUAAACCAAUCUGCCGGUCACACCUUGGCUGUAAAGUGUCCUAACAGCCACCUACUUAUGAUUACUGCUUUCUUACCAAUAACCUCCCCAGCCUGUUGUGUGGCUCCUACAUCUUGAACAAAAGCGACCAAGGCAUACAUCUGUAGGAGACCAGAAUAUGCCACCCCAAAAUAUGCCUCCUUGGCCUAAGGAUUAUUCUGAGCUAGUAAUUUUGAGAAACAGAAGCUAUGAAAACAGCAUAAGCUACCCCUUUGAAAGAGAAAUUCACCCCGGCCACCACCCCGUCUGGGAAGUGAGGAGCGUCUCUGCCCAGCCGCCCCGUCUGAGAAGUGAGGAGCCCCUCCGC
This 807-nucleotide long non-coding RNA is filed under the name Homo sapiens (human). Its description in RNAcentral is "HSALNT0340637". The record is from RNAcentral. Lineage: Eukaryota; Metazoa; Chordata; Mammalia; Primates; Hominidae.